This 419-nucleotide long non-coding RNA is filed under the name Physcomitrium patens. Its description in RNAcentral is "long non-coding RNA (PPAT_LNC009971)". The record is from RNAcentral. Lineage: Eukaryota; Viridiplantae; Streptophyta; Bryopsida; Funariales; Funariaceae.
GCCAUUUGAUUUCUCGGCCUUUGCUUGAUCCACUCCAAAAAAGUCACUUUAGUCAUUCUUAUUGAAUCUUCUUCAAAAAAUUCAUCCUUCAAAAGUUCUUCAAAUUUCUUCUAUAAUAUAGCCUUAGUAUGUAACUCUUAUAUUCUCUCUCUGAUUUUUGGUAUCAUUGCCAAAUCAAAUGUGGUAAUUAUCUUCAUUUAUGAAACUUGAUGCACUUCCAUUUCAUACGUAUAAAUCCUUAGGAGCUUAAAGAUAUUCCUCCCAUCAAACCUUCUAACCUUAUCCACUACUACUUAUAAAGCUUUAGUAGUGUUUUUAUUUUCUCCAUGUACUUAUUGCCUCUCUUCCAUAAAUUGAGCAAAUACUAUAAAUAAAUCAUAGGCACCCACUCGACCUAGUAAUGAAAAUCCAUGAUUUUG